This 407-nucleotide ribosomal RNA is filed under the name uncultured bacterium. Its description in RNAcentral is "bacterial SSU rRNA". It matches the Rfam family "Bacterial small subunit ribosomal RNA", at positions 355 to 759 of the family's 1533-position model. The record is from RNAcentral.
UAAGGAAUAUUGGACAAUGGACGCAAGUCUGAUCCAGCCAUGCCGCGUGAAGGAUGAAUGCCCUCUGGGUUGUAAACUUCUUUUAUAGGGGAAGAAAGAUACUUUUUUUAAGGUAGUUGACGGUACCCUAUGAAUAAGCACCGGCUAACUCCGUGCCAGCAGCCGCGGUAAUACGGAGGGUGCAAGCGUUACUCGGAAUUACUGGGCGUAAAGCGUGCGUAGGCGGUUCGGUAAGUCCGUUGUGAAAGCCCUGGGCUCAACCUGGGAAUGGCAGUGGAUACUGGCGAGCUAGAGGACGGUAGAGGAUGGGGGAAUUCCCGGUGGAGCGGUGAAAUGCGUAGAGAACGGGAGGAACAGCCGUGGCGAAGGCGGCCAUCUGGACCAGUACUGACGCUGAGGCACGAAAG